GCGCGAUGUCCUGCCUGUGCCCCUCACGCCGCCCCCUGCAGGGCAGCCCUGCCACCCCGAGUGCUGUAGCUCGUUCUGUCUGUCCCUGUCGGGGUGAGCUCCGUGCAGUGUGUUUGCAGAGGCUUGGCGUUUGGGCCUCUAACUGGAAGCCAUCUUUGUUCCCUGCAGGCCAUGAAGUACUUGUCGUACCUGCUGUACCCGCUCUGUGUCGGGGGCGCUGUCUAUUCACUCCUGAACAUCAAAUACAAGAGCUGGUACUCCUGGUUAAUCAACAGCUUCGUCAACGGGGUCUAUGCCUUCGGUUUCCUCUUCAUGUUGCCCCAGCUCUUUGUGAACUACAAGGUAAGGCGGUGUGUGCUGCCCGCAGCCCGGCCCCCGUCUCCUGUGCUGCCCACAGCUGACCUGUGCCUGUCUUUCCUGUUUCAGUUGAAGUCAGUGGCACAUUUGCCCUGGAAGGCUUUCACCUACAAGGCUUUCAACACCUUCAUUGAUGACGUUUUUGCCUUCAUCAUCACCAUG
This 519-nucleotide small RNA is filed under the name Pongo abelii (Sumatran orangutan). Its description in RNAcentral is "retained intron". Lineage: Eukaryota; Metazoa; Chordata; Mammalia; Primates; Hominidae. The record is from RNAcentral.